RNAcentral lists this transfer RNA (77 nucleotides) under Zestosphaera tikiterensis. RNAcentral's name for it is "tRNA-Leu". It matches the Rfam family "tRNA". Rfam says of the family: Transfer RNA (tRNA) molecules are approximately 80 nucleotides in length. Lineage: Archaea; Thermoproteati; Thermoproteota; Thermoprotei; Desulfurococcales; Desulfurococcaceae. The record is from RNAcentral. RNAcentral also lists the same sequence under 4 other names.
GGGCCCGUAGCUCAGCCAGGUAGAGCGGCGGACCCAGCACCCGUAGGUCCCGGGUUCAAAUCCCGGCGGGCCCGCCA